AGAGUUUGAUCAUGGCUCAGGACGAACGCUGGCGGCGUGCCUAAUACAUGCAAGUCGAGCGAGCUUGCCUAGAUGAUUUUAGUGCUUGCACUAAAUGAAACUAGAUACAAGCGAGCGGCGGACGGGUGAGUAACACGUGGGUAACCUGCCCAAGAGACUGGGAUAACACCUGGAAACAGAUGCUAAUACCGGAUAACAACACUAGACGCAUGUCUAGAGUUUGAAAGAUGGUUCUGCUAUCACUCUUGGAUGGACCUGCGGUGCAUUAGCUAGUUGGUAAGGUAACGGCUUACCAAGGCAAUGAUGCAUAGCCGAGUUGAGAGACUGAUCGGCCACAUUGGGACUGAGACACGGCCCAAACUCCUACGGGAGGCAGCAGUAGGGAAUCUUCCACAAUGGACGAAAGUCUGAUGGAGCAACGCCGCGUGAGUGAAGAAGGGUUUCGGCUCGUAAAGCUCUGUUGGUAGUGAAGAAAGAUAGAGGUAGUAACUGGCCUUUAUUUGACGGUAAUUACUUAGAAAGUCACGGCUAACUACGUGCCAGCAGCCGCGGUAAUACGUAGGUGGCAAGCGUUGUCCGGAUUUAUUGGGCGUAAAGCGAGUGCAGGCGGUUGAAUAAGUCUGAUGUGGAAGCCUUCGGCUCAACCGGAGAAUUGCAUCAGAAACUGUUGAACUUGAGUGCAGAAGAGGAGAGUGGAACUCCAUGUGUAGCGGUGGAAUGCGUAGAUAUAUGGAAGAACACCAGUGGCGAAGGCGGCUCUCUGGUCUGCAACUGACGCUGAGGCUCGAAAGCAUGGGUAGCGAACAGGAUUAGAUACCCUGGUAGUCCAUGCCGUAAACGAUGAGUGCUAAGUGUUGGGAGGUUUCCGCCUCUCAGUGCUACAGCUAACGCAUUAAGCACUCCGCCUGGGGAGUA
RNAcentral lists this ribosomal RNA (915 nucleotides) under uncultured bacterium. Its description in RNAcentral is "bacterial SSU rRNA". It matches the Rfam family "Bacterial small subunit ribosomal RNA", at positions 8 to 882 of the family's 1533-position model. The record is from RNAcentral.